This 675-nucleotide ribosomal RNA is filed under the name uncultured bacterium. RNAcentral's name for it is "bacterial SSU rRNA". It matches the Rfam family "Bacterial small subunit ribosomal RNA", at positions 116 to 788 of the family's 1533-position model. The record is from RNAcentral.
CGUAUGCAACCUACCUUCAACUGAGGGAUAACCCGUCGAAAGGCGGACUAAUACCUCAUAACACAGGGGUCCCGCAUGGGAAUAUUUGUUAAAGAUUUAUUGGUUGAAGAUGGGCAUGCGUAACAUUAGGUAGUUGGCAGGGUAACGGCCUACCAAGCCAUCGAUGUUUAGGGGCUCUGAGAGGAAGGUCCCCCACACUGGUACUGAGACACGGACCAGACUCCUACGGGAGGCAGCAGUGAGGAAUAUUGGUCAAUGGUCGAGAGACUGAACCAGCCAAGUCGCGUGAAGGAGGAAGGCCUUAUGGGUUGUAAACUUCUUUUAUAGGGGAAUAAAAAGGGGAACGUGUUCUCUGUUGUAUGUACCUUAUGAAUAAGCAUCGGCUAACUCCGUGCCAGCAGCCGCGGUAAUACGGAGGAUGCGAGCGUUAUCCGGAUUUAUUGGGUUUAAAGGGUGCGUAGGUGGGCCUGUAAGUCAGCGGUGAAAUUUUGGUCGCUUAACGAUAAAAUUGCCGUUGAAACUGUGGGCCUUGAGUAUGGAUGAAGUAGGCGGAAUGCGUGGUGUAGCGGUGAAAUGCUUAGAGAUCACGCAGAACUCCGAUUGCGUAGCAGCUUACUAAGGCAUAACUGACACUGAAGCACGAAAGCGUGGGUAUCAAACAGGAUUAGAUACCCU